CUACGGGGCGCUGCAGUGAGGAAUAUUGCACAAUGGGGGGAACCCUGAUGCAGCAACGCCGCGUGGAGGAUGACGCAUUUCGGUGUGUAAACUCCUUUUAUAUGUCAAGAAAAUGACGGUAGCAUAUGAAUAAGCACCGGCUAACUCCGUGCCAGCAGCCGCGGUAAUACGGAGGGUGCAAGCGUUACUCGGAAUCACUGGGCGUAAAGGACGCGUAGGCGGGUUGGAAAGUCAGGUGUGAAAUCCUACAGCUUAACUGUAGAACUGCACUUGAAACUUCUAAUCUAGAGUAUGGGAGGGGGAGAUGGAAUUAGUGGUGUAGGGGUAAAAUCCGUAGAUAUCACUAGGAAUACCUAAAGCGAAGGCGAUCUCCCGGAACAUUACUGACGCUAAGGCGUGAAAGCGUGGGGAGCAAACAGGAUUAGAUACCCGUGUAGUC
Molecule: ribosomal RNA, 439 nt
Filed under: uncultured bacterium
Lineage: Bacteria
Description: partial 16S ribosomal RNA
Rfam family: Bacterial small subunit ribosomal RNA
Source: RNAcentral